Molecule: long non-coding RNA, 4431 nt
Organism: Pseudophryne corroboree (corroboree frog)
Lineage: Eukaryota; Metazoa; Chordata; Amphibia; Anura; Myobatrachidae
Exons: 5
Source: RefSeq, a predicted model, not a curated record
GCUUUUGGUGGGCGGUGCUAGAAGAGGAGACGACACGUGUAGCGCCGGCCCCCGUGACGUCAGCGCGGUUCAAACCAUGGCAUCUCCCCACCCCCCACACUGAGCGUCAAGUGGGCCGUUCCAAAGCCUCAAGGCCAGAAGGGAGGGGCUGCGUGUCGGUUGCCUUGGAAACGGCGGGUGCUUGUGUUGAACGUUGGACAGUGAGGUCGCGGUGUCGGGCUCGUCACGUGGUUAAAAAAAAAAAAAAAAAAAGCGCGUUUCCCUGACGGCGGGAAUGUGGCUGCUGCGUCUCUCCCUCUCUAUUCGACGCCAUAUGCAACAGCAUCGCCGAACGAUGAAUGUCAGAUAAAUGAGGGGAAACAUCAUUGGAGUAGCUCAGGUUCCACACAUUAUUACCAUUGAUACGUAUGUCCUUGUACAGAAUACGACUAGCUUAUGUGGCACAGGGAGUGCGGUGAUGUGAUGUCCAAUCAAUCCGGACUCAUCAUUUUCCUACAAGAAGCUUUGGAAGCUUAACAGAAUCACAGGUGAUAUUGGAGAAGACCCGUGGGGAUGCGCCGGUGCUGGUCUCGCUCACACACGCAUGCGCGUCUGUCCAUUUAACCUGACAGCGCUGGAGAGGGUACUGGAUGAAAACCAGUAAUAAUGCCUUGGGAAACUUUAUAUUUUUAUUUUUUUGUCAUUAUUAUUUUCUUGCCUUGGGUAAUAUUCAGUUGACGAGAACCUGUUAAUUAAAACUAUUUUGUUGCGUUGACUUCACAAGAUGUGGCUCAGGUAGUGUCUGACAAUGGUACCCACCUAUGAAGCAUUAUGUCACCUGUAUGGAGCACAGGGGAAAAAGGCCCAUAAUGCCUGAGCAUCUGCCUCCUACAUCUUGUGAAGAUGUAUGUUGUGUUGUUUGUUUGUUUGUUUGUUUGUUUGUUUGUUUGUUGGAUUGCUUCUGCUGUGCUGCAGUCGGAAAAUGAUCAGUAACAAAAGUGUCCGAAGUCCCAGUCUUCUGUUUCUCUGUCAGAAGAUUGCAUCCAAAGCUUUCACUAAUAUGUUAUGCUUAAAAAAUAACCGAAAAGCUGAACAAUUAUACAUUUUAGGAUGUGAGUAGACUUAACGUAGGUCAUCCUGUAAUUUGAAGUAUUUUACUAUACAUGAUGCUGACCACAAUUAUUUAGGCUUUUAAGUUACAAAACGAUUUCUUUUUCCCGUACAAUAAUCGUAUAUAAUGUAUAUCUGAUGCUAAAUGAUGUGCACCCAUAAUUUAUUGUAGGUGCCAGACAGCAGUUCAAGAUCUAGGCCCACAACAAUAAUGUAACUUAGCCGUGAGUCAAAUAAAGUGUUAACUUGGCUCAUUUGUAAUUUGUGGUGUUUGUAUAGGCCCUAAACACAAAGCACCCAUCUACAAUGUUUUAUGCUAAUUCCCAGCAUGCAGUCGAUAGUUACCCUGCACUCUAAGCCUAUAAUAGAUGCCUGUGCAAAAAAAUAAGAAUGAUUACUUCAACUGCUGUUCCUAACCUUUACACCCUACUAUACUAUCACUAUACAAAAAGACUUAGUUAAUUCAUGAUGUCUGACAUAGUCCUAUUACUGUUUUAUAUGAGGUCGAUUCGUUUGAGUUAAAUGGGGACAACUACAAUAAGAAUCUUUUUAUUUUUUUAGGAAACCUCUCAUACAUAGAAAUGACAGACAAUACAAUUAGAUUAUAUAUCUAUAGAUAAAGUCUGGUGCUGUGGUUAUGCCAUAUCUACCCUCUCUCCAUACAUUUCCAUUUGCAGGUGAUUAUAGUAUGAAAGCAUGUUACACAAAUUAAAAAAAACACUAUUUGUCAUAUGACUUUUAACAAAAAAUAUAUCUACAGAACAGAAAUAUGUAUUUCGAAUAUUUAUAAUUACCGUAGUAAAAAUAUAUGUUUGAGCUAAGUUUUUCUGAAGACGAAUAUAUUAAUAAAUUGAGUAGAAGCGUGACACAUAUCAUACUCGUUUGCUGAGUUAGUUAGGUUCAGAGGGAACAUACGCCCAAACCCGGUCAGGGAUAUAAAGAACAUUUAUUACAUAAAGCAGUGAUGAUCUGGUCAAGUAAUGUGCAAUGGGAUUCGUACACUAAACUAAAACUCCCAGUAACCAUGGCGACAAACGCUCUCCUCCAGCUCGCUGUUACAUAUUCCAUAUUCCAGUGGAUCUGCCUCUCACACUUUAGUUUACAACUAUUGUCUAGUGUAAUUCUACAUCCCUUCUAAUGCAUGUACAGUAUUGUUUCAUGAGUCCUGCCUUCCAAUAUUCCCUAUAUAACACUGCUAACAACUAGGAAAACGUAGCUCUGCUGGAGGCAAUUAUUCUAUAUGUAACAUAUGGAAUUGAUUUAUAAGUCAGCGCAGAGGAUAGUGAGCAUCGAUUAAUGUGAAUAAUUACCCCACCCCUAACAUGCACACGUCUACGGCUGCUUCUUGCAAAUCUCAUUUUAACUUCAAUCUGAAAAGUCUCACAGUACAGGGUAUUGGGGACGAGGUAUUAGUCCCCUGGCUGGUCUCAGCUGUUCCUGCUAGAGUAAGUGCAGUGAGUGGUUACCUCCUACGGACAGACAGGUGUAUAAGGAGGUGGCUAUAGAGAGAAUAGCUCCUGUGUUUAGUUAUUAUUUGCAAGUUUGUACCAUGUUGUUGUUUUACUGUCCAAAAUCCCAGUGUUUGCAGUGAUCUAGCUCUUAUAAUUUGCGUUGAUAUGCUAAUCGGAGGGUGUCAUACACAUCUGAUGAAUUAAUCCACAUAUACAUUAUAUAUAUGUGCACACAAGUGCAGUUAUAUGUUACUUGUGUUCCUGCUGGGAGAUGAUAGAAGGUGUCAUAAGGGGGUUCUGGGACACACAGUUGAGCACCCUCGCAGUCACCCGUAGGUGCAUCAGAGUUGGAACAGCCCUGUUGCUAUUGGCAACGUGUCAGCUGAGCAGCACCUCGCAGGGCGUACUGCACUGGGCAGAAGGAACCUGCUGGCAGCUGCCACGGAAAUAGGGGGUGGGGAAACUUUGUCAUGCAUGGAAACAACAUAAAGCAAAGCGCAGUGCAACAUCAGCUCUCUCUCACUGCGCUGCCUUGUAUUCGGCUGUCACAUCCCACCGCUGACAGCCUCCUUAUCCCGUGCCAGGCUGGCACUGCCAGUAGCAGGACGUUUGCAAAAGGGAAACUCUAUCUACCCGUGGGGCCCAUGUGAGCCACAAACGCCUGGGAGCUCUGCUCUCAAAGGCCACAGAGCUAUGAAUUGCAGCGGGGCGGAGGAAGGAGGGGGAAGGGACUGCCAGCUGAGCUGAGCUACGGGCAGGGAAAUAAGGAGUCACUGGCAGAGGGUACGGGAGGAGCAGCCCCUGAUGUGGCAGCGUUACUGUGCAGAAGGUUAUAGUGGAGGUGGACAUUGUUGGAGAAUACAGGGUACACGGUGUGACUAUCUGAGAAAGGGGGGAGGGCACUGAGAGAGGGAGUAUACUCAAAAGGGUGUAGAGGAUGAACUGAGGGCAAUGACUGGACACGGGAUAGCAAGCAUUGCUUAACCUAUUUUCUUUAACAUCAUAAACAUAUUAUUGUGGUCGGGUCACCAUAUACUAGUCGCUAUUAACCUUCCGUCGUGCCCUUGCACUCCAUGUACCGGCUAAAUAGUAUCACCCCCUUGCCUCUACGGUACCAUUACCUGGGCGAAAUCACCGAAAUAGAAUUUUCCACAUGGGUAUCUUUACACCAAUCUGCCAGUUUGUCCUACAGGACUGACGGGUACACUACUGACAAAUAAAUAUUCCAUACUGACUAAAAAGUGUCUGCAAUACACUACUUCAUGUUAACUUCAUAAACUUACUAAAGAGUAGAGAAAACCAUUGCACUUUAGGUAUUUAUAUUACUGGGGCAUAAUUAUCUGUUAGGACAUUUGUCUGAUAAAAUGAUUUUGCUGUAAUACUGCGAAUUUGGAAUAUUUAGAUUUUAACUAAGAUUUAUUUGACUGUAAUGUUUUACAAGGGAAAAAUGUAUUUAUUUGAAACAAGCAGCAACCAAAUAAUCCAGGGUUGGAUUGAUGUGCUAUAUUUUAUAUAAAUUAAACUAACACUUUUUAUAAUCUCAUUGGUAUCACUAUCACCCAUAUAUUUACAAACAAAAACCAUGAACCAUGAGUCUGUAGACCUUCAUAUCAAAUAUAUGGACUUCAUGCUGAAUAAUCCUAGAUUUGCCGAAACGUCGGUAGGUAGCCUUGACAUGCAUUUAAGACAUCAGUAAAAGCAAAGUAGAAAGUAUUGCUAGAUCAGUGUGCCUUUUCUGACAGGACACUUUUCAUCUCGCUGCUUACUUAAGCCUUAAAAAAAAAGAACAAUUAUAAAACUCGGUACAAAAAAUAAUAAUCAUUCAAAAUAUUAUUUUGUUUAUGCAUGUGUGUUUUAAUUUUUAGAAUAAAAUGUUAUGGAUGCAUAAAAU